AAAAAUUCGAUUAAAUUUUAGUUAAUUUUUCUUUUGACAUUCAUGGAGAUUCUUUCACAUAUUUGUAUAGAAAAAAAAGACUAGAUACAAAACCCUUUAAGAUAUUGAGAUUGGGUAAUUUUUUCUUUGUUAUUACAUUUUGGUAGUGAA
Telopea speciosissima is the source of this 150-nucleotide long non-coding RNA. RefSeq lists it as uncharacterized. The transcript is spliced from 3 exons. The record is from RefSeq and is a predicted model, not a curated record. Lineage: Eukaryota; Viridiplantae; Streptophyta; Magnoliopsida; Proteales; Proteaceae.